GACGAACGCUGGCGGCGUGCUUAACACAUGCAAGUCGAACGGAAAGGCCCUGCUUUUGUGGGGUGCUCGAGUGGCGAACGGGUGAGUAACACGUGAGUAACCUGCCCUUGACUUUGGGAUAACUUCAGGAAACUGGGGCUAAUACCGGAUAGGAGCUCCUGCUGCAUGGUGGGGGUUGGAAAGUUUCGGCGGUUGGGGAUGGACUCGCGGCUUAUCAGCUUGUUGGUGGGGUAGUGGCUUACCAAGGCUUUGACGGGUAGCCGGCCUGAGAGGGUGACCGGCCACAUUGGGACUGAGAUACGGCCCAGACUCCUACGGGAGGCAGCAGUGGGGAAUAUUGCACAAUGGGCGGAAGCCUGAUGCAGCAACGCCGCGUGCGGGAGGACGGCCUUCGGUUGUAAACCGCUUUCGCCUGUGACGAAGCGUGAGUGACGGUAAUGGGUAAAGAAGCACCGGCUAACUACGUG
Molecule: ribosomal RNA, 467 nt
Filed under: uncultured bacterium
Lineage: Bacteria
Description: partial 16S ribosomal RNA
Rfam family: Bacterial small subunit ribosomal RNA
Source: RNAcentral